GCCUCUGUAGUUCAAUGGAUAGAACGGAAGUUUCCUAAACUUUAGAUUCGGGUUCGAUUCCCGGCGGAGGUAC
Molecule: transfer RNA, 73 nt
Filed under: Bacteroidia bacterium
Lineage: Bacteria; Pseudomonadati; Bacteroidota; Bacteroidia
Description: tRNA-Arg
Rfam family: tRNA
About the family: Transfer RNA (tRNA) molecules are approximately 80 nucleotides in length. Their secondary structure includes four short double-helical elements and three loops (D, anti-codon, and T loops).
Source: RNAcentral